GUCCUGUCAAAGUGUGGGUCUGAAUGCUGAUCAGACUGACUCUCUGACUUUCUCCUCUUUCUCUCUCCUCUGGUGUCAUUCUGGCAAGGGCGUUGGUCUCCUUGUCUUUCUGUUCCAGUAGACUGUCUAGGUGGUGGAUGUGCAUCUCAGCCUCAGCCAGUCUCCUGGUCCUCUCAUGGUCCUCCUCUGAGGCCUUGGCUGACAGACCUGGAAUACACACCAUAGUGAUGCUUUUAAAAGUGUGUGUGUGUGUUGUGUUGUGUUGUGUUGUGUUGUGGGUGUGUGUGGGUGUGUGUGUGUGCGUGCGUGCGUGUGUGUGAACCCCACCAUACCUUUGCUCUGCAGCAUCUCCAGUAGUUUCUUGAUAGACUGGUCUCUGGCCCCCAGGGUCUGUUUCUGACUGUCGAUCCUCAACUCCAUCUCCUCCAACGUCUUCCUCAGGAGGAACAACUCUUUGGCCUGGAGGUUACAUUCAAUACAAUUCAAUUCAAACUAAUUGUAUUUUCCUUGGCCUAGAGGUUAGAUUAAAUGAAAUGCAACUGUAUUCAUCUCUUUGGCCUAGAGGAAAGUGUCACACCCUGAUCUGUUUCACCUGUCUUUGUGAUUGUCUCCACCCCCCUCCAGGUGUCGCCCAUCUUCCCCAUUAUCCCCUGUGUAUUUAUACCUGUGCUCUCUGUUUGUCUGUUGUCAGUUUGUUUUGUUUUGUUCGUCAAGCCUACCAGCGUUUUCCCCUUGCUCCUAUCUUUUUCCAGUUCCUAACUAUUCCUACACAUUGGGGCCGUGCAUUUUCUAGUACCUGUUUUCUAGUUUUCCUGGUUUUUACCAUUCUGUCUACCCUGACCCUGAGCCUGCCUGCCGUUCUGUACCUUAUGGACUCUGAUCUGGAUUACUGACCUCUGCCUGCCCCCUGUUCAAGUAAUAAACUGUUGUUAUUUUAACAGUGUGCAUCUGUGUCUUCUCCUGAAACGGAAUAGUUAGAUUCAAUUCAAUUUAAUGGGAGAACACAAGACACCUCCUUUCAGUAAUGUCAACUCCUGAAUCCAAGAUACUUCUCAGCAUGUUUGUGUUAUUUAUUCAUUCACUUAGUUAGCCUAGAGAUUAGAUUCAAUCAAACGUUAUUUAUUUAAUGAACUUUCUAAUUCAAUGAACUUUAUUGAUACCAGUAGGGGAAACAUGACAUGAUUGUGAUAUUUCUAAAUGAGGUUAGUUAGUUCUUUAUACUUGUUGUACUGUUGUAUGUCCAUUACCAUUGCAUUCCUCAAGUUAUUCAGAGGAGUAUGCCUUCUGCCAAAUGAAAUGAAAUAGAGUGUACAACAUGACACUGAAUAAAGUACAGAAUCCUAAAUAAGACUCUGAUGAACUGACA
Salmo salar (Atlantic salmon) is the source of this 1366-nucleotide non-coding RNA. NCBI's taxonomy places the organism in Eukaryota, Metazoa, Chordata, Actinopteri, Salmoniformes, Salmonidae. The record is from RefSeq and is a predicted model, not a curated record.